GAGAACUGGGACUAGUGAUGGUUUAAUGAAGGCCCGUGAAUGUGUUGAGUCUUUCUGGCCAAUUGCAUCGCCAAAAGUGUCAUUACUCG
Long non-coding RNA from Melanotaenia boesemani (Boeseman's rainbowfish), 89 nucleotides. RefSeq lists it as uncharacterized. Lineage: Eukaryota; Metazoa; Chordata; Actinopteri; Atheriniformes; Melanotaeniidae. The record is from RefSeq and is a predicted model, not a curated record. The transcript is spliced from 3 exons.